Raphanus sativus (radish) is the source of this 107-nucleotide small nucleolar RNA. The record is from RefSeq and is a predicted model, not a curated record. Lineage: Eukaryota; Viridiplantae; Streptophyta; Magnoliopsida; Brassicales; Brassicaceae.
AAUCCAUGAUGAAAGAAUUCUCUGUGGUAAUCAUUAAAACGCUCCCAUGCGUCGUAAAAAUUCUCAUCAGUUAGCUGUCUGAAAGAGGUGAUCUUGUUCCUCAAUGC